Molecule: RNA transcript, 2305 nt
Organism: Vicia villosa (hairy vetch)
Lineage: Eukaryota; Viridiplantae; Streptophyta; Magnoliopsida; Fabales; Fabaceae
Exons: 6
Source: RefSeq, a predicted model, not a curated record
AUUGAAAAUUAUUUUAUGUUGCUCACAAUAAUCUCAAGCACCCGCGUAACACGAAAUUAGGGUUUGCAAUGAGUCAUAGAAGAAUGGACCUCGACGACGAAGACAAUGAGGAUUUCGAUGAAGAGGAAGCGGUUGAUGAAGACGAGGAAGAAGUGGAUGAGUGAGUCGAUGAUUACGAUGGCGGUGGAAAAGCUAGCCGCAAGCGCCAAUACAAGAAAGUUUCUGCUUCGAAUUUCUUCAAUGAAGAGGUUGAAGUUGAUACAGGUGAUGAAGAGGAGGAAGAAGAAGGGGAAGACGCAAGGGAAAAUAUCUGAAGCUGGAAAAGAAAUAGUUGCUUCGGUUAUGCAGGACUUGACAGUAGCAAGUCAAGGUUCUUCUGAACCUGAAGCAAGAUGGUUUGAACUGUUUAGUAGCCGAUAUCGAAAAGUUGUCAGCGUUGGCGCAACACUUUUCUUACUCCAGCAAUUGGCUAGAAUAAAUAUCGUUGUUCAAUAUUUAACUCCUGUCUUCCGCAGUGCUGGAAUCACUUCUGAUGUUGCAGCAAGUGCUUUGGUUGGUGCAUCAAAUAUUUUUGGGCCAAUGCCACCAUCUCAUCGGAGAUCACUUUAUACUUAGUUUCAAUGAUUAUGUUUUCUUCAAAAAUAUACAACAUUAUCCCUCUUGUUCAAAGUACCAAGACAAGGCUUACAAAGAGAAAGAUUUGUUACUGUCAUUAAGAGAGAAGCUGCUAGAAGAAUUCUCACCGGAUGAUACGUGUAAGAUUGGAUCUUAGCUGGCCACGAAUAUUCUCAAGGCGUGUCAUGUGGAUUUCUGAAUGAUUUAUUUUGUUCCAAAACUAUUAACUUUGUAAUCGAUGUUUUCACAUUUUUCAGGAUGGUUCAUUAGUUCAUGAUGAUUUUAUCUAUGAACUAUAUGAAAGUAAAUUAAAACAAACUCCAAUAUUGUCCACGGAGGUCCCUACAUUUUUGAGUGCUAAUCAACGUUUAGAAUUAGUAUGUGACACAUUUAUUGCCCUCAUACAUUUUUGUGUUCAUUGGAUUGCAUUAUAAGCUCUUCUCUUACCAGUGACAGAAAAUUUGGCGCAACACUUUUGAGCACAGGUUUUGACCCAUCUCAUCCUGCUGGGAGGAUUUUUGUAUCGACUUCAUUUGAUACGCCUUACGAGGAUAUGGCUGAUAACUGCGAAGUACUUAUAAUGGGAAAGCACAAUAUGUCUAGAUUGACGAGUACCGCCGAUCAAACACAAGAAAGUUCAGCGAACUCCACUUUACCAACUCACGACAGUGAAUCGAAAACCACAGACUCAUCUCCCCAUGACGAUCUCUUGAAGGUCUCUGAAAACAAGAGAGCAUCAACGUCAAUAUCUUUUAUAUUCCAGCUGCCUUCAUUUUUUCAAGGUCUCUGAAAACAAGAGAGCAUCAACGUCAAUAUCUUUUAUAUUCCAGCACAAGUAUAUUGUGUUAGUUUUCACAUUUAUAUGAAUGCUUGAAACCUACAGAAAGAAGAAGCCAUAGCUAUCAACUCGAAUUUUCGUUAAACUAUUACAUAUAGAUGCUUCACAAACAAGAUGUUAAUUAUGUUUUAGCAUAUUAAAUUAAUUAAUUGAUAGUGCAUUCUGGUAUGAUUGUCACUCAGUACUAAGCAACAUAUUGCAUUUUUAUUGUAUGCUUUAUUUUUUGUUAAUCCACAUGGAACUUUUCCCCUUUGAAAAUUUGAUGUCCCAUUAGUAACUCAUCAGCAUUAUGGUCCUUAAUAGUGAUGGAUGCUGAUUUUGUUUUGUAGAUAUUAAAAUUAAGAUCUAAAUAGUUCAAUAAAAUUUAAGUGUUUAUUCAAUUCUUUUUGGAGCUAUUUGUGAUGCCUGCAUAUUAGUUCUCAUAAACUAGUUACAAUUGGUUGCCUUUUGCCUUUAAUUGUAAAUCACUCUGUACCAGAGGAUUUUCCAAUAUAUACUAGUUAUAAUUCAGUAUCCUGUUAAUCUCAAUUUCUCUUUCAUAUUUGUUCUUCAUUUGAUUUUUUGUGUGCAAUCCAAUAAUUGGACAGUUCUUAAGUCAGAAUUUGAUACGGGCAAGAGGUUCAAUUUGAGAGUAUAUUUUUAAAUUUUAGCUUGAGAUUUGCUAUGAUAUUUUUGUGGCGAAUUUGAAGCUAUUUAGUUAGAAAACCUAAAUUGAAGACCGAAUUUAGCUAGAGUUUGGUUGUGAUUUAGCUAGGUAUAUUUAAAUAUUAGCUGGUACUUUGCUAGGAAAUUUUUGUAUAGAUAAUUAGCCACCCAAUCCAUGCUACGGCUUAUAUUGUAGUUAAUCCCAAA